UAUUUGCAAAUGUCCAUUUAGUAAUAGUAGAGGUACCAAAACAAGAAUAAUGAGAGAAAGCUUCCAGUUUGCGUCAAAGGCAAUUACCAAGGCUGUAAUUGCAGUAGCAAAAUCUUGAACCAGCAAACCAAGAGCAUCCCCAACCAAGGUUCGAAUAGAAGCCGCAUCAGUUGAGAGCCUUGCUCCAAGUGCUCCACUUGAAUUCUCAGCUUUAUCAAACCAGCCUAUUUCCAUGUGAAUUAUUUUCUCAAAACACAUAAGCCGGAUCCUUUUUAUCAACUUAGAACCAGCUACAGAAAAAAGGUAGGACCUUAAUGGAAGAAAUAUGAAGGCAGCCACACUAAGGACAACAAAUAUUUAUGCCCAAAUUGCAGUAGCAAAAUCUUGAACCAGCAAACCAAGAGCAUCCCCAACCAAGGUUCGAAUAGAAGCCGCAUCAGUUGAGAGCCUUGCUCCAAGUGCUCCACUUGAAUUCUCAGCUUUAUCAAACCAGCCUAUUUCCAUGUGAAUUAUUUUCUCAAAACACAUAAGCCGGAUCCUUUUUAUCAACUUAGAACCAGCUACAGAAAAAAGGUAGG
This 578-nucleotide long non-coding RNA is filed under the name Glycine max (soybean). Its description in RNAcentral is "long non-coding RNA (GMAX_LNC002884)". The record is from RNAcentral. Lineage: Eukaryota; Viridiplantae; Streptophyta; Magnoliopsida; Fabales; Fabaceae.